Molecule: non-coding RNA, 24 nt
Filed under: Arabidopsis thaliana (thale cress)
Lineage: Eukaryota; Viridiplantae; Streptophyta; Magnoliopsida; Brassicales; Brassicaceae
Source: RNAcentral
GGAGACUGACAAGACGACGAAGAC